GAAUUUUGGACAAUGGGCGAAAGCUUGAUCCAGCAAUGCCGCGUGAAGGAUGAAGGCCUUCGGGUUGUAAACUGCUUUUGUACGGACAGAAAAGCUUUGGGUUAAUACCCUGGAGUCGUGACGGUACCGUAAGAAUAAGAACCGGCUAACUACGUUCCCGCAGCCGCGGUAAAACGUAGGGUGCAAGCGUUAAUAGGAAUUAUUGUGCGUAAUGCGUGCGCAGGCGGUUUUGUAAGACAGAGGUGAAAUCCCCGGGCUCAACCUGGGAACUGCCUUUGUGACUGCAAGGCUAGAGUACGGCAGAGGGGGGUGGAAUUCCUCGUGUAGCAGUGAAAUGCGUAGAUAUGCGGAGGAACACCGAUGGCGAAGGCAACCCCCUGGGCCUGUACUGACGCUCAUGCACGAAAGCGUGGGGAGCAAACA
RNAcentral lists this ribosomal RNA (423 nucleotides) under uncultured bacterium. RNAcentral's name for it is "partial 16S ribosomal RNA". It matches the Rfam family "Bacterial small subunit ribosomal RNA", at positions 359 to 774 of the family's 1533-position model. The record is from RNAcentral.